RNAcentral lists this ribosomal RNA (835 nucleotides) under uncultured Methanoculleus sp. Its description in RNAcentral is "bacterial SSU rRNA". It matches the Rfam family "Archaeal small subunit ribosomal RNA", at positions 58 to 901 of the family's 1478-position model. The record is from RNAcentral. Lineage: Archaea; Methanobacteriati; Methanobacteriota; Methanomicrobia; Methanomicrobiales; Methanomicrobiaceae.
UCGAGAGGGUUCGGCCCUCGGCGUACUGCUCAGUAACACGUGGAUAACCUGACCUAAGGAAGGGGAUAACUCCGGGAAACUGGGGAUAAUACCCUAUAGGUUACGGGUGCUGGAAUGCCCUGUAACCGAAAGUUCCGACGCCUUAGGAUGGAUCUGCGGCCGAUUAGGUUGUUGUCGGGGUAAUGGCCCAACAAGCCAGUGAUCGGUACGGGUUGUGGGAGCAAGAGCCCGGAGUUGGAUUCUGAGACACGAAUCCAGGCCCUACGGGGCGCAGCAGGCGCGAAAACUUUACAAUGCGGGCAACCGUGAUAAGGGAACCUCGAGUGCCUGUAUAUGCAGGCUGUCCAGGUGUCUAAAACACACCUGAAGAAAGGGCCGGGCAAGACCGGUGCCAGCCGCCGCGGUAAUACCGGCGGCUCGAGUGGUGGCCACUUUUAUUGGGCUUAAAGCGUUCGUAGCUGGGUUGUUAAGUCUCUUGGGAAAUCCGGCAGCUUAACUGUCGGGCGUCUAAGGGAUACUGGUAAUCUUGGAACCGGGAGAGGUGAGGGGUACUUCGGGGGUAGGAGUGAAAUCCUGUAAUCCUCGAGGGACCACCUGUGGCGAAGGCGCCUCACCAGAACGGCUUCGACAGUGAGGGACGAAAGCUGGGGGAGCAAACCGGAUUAGAUACCCGGGUAGUCCCAGCCGUAAACGAUGUGCGUUAGGUGUAUCGACGACCACGAGUCGUCGAGGUGCCGAAGGGAAACCGUGAAACGUACCGCCUGGGAAGUACGGUCGCAAGGCUGAAACUUAAAGGAAUUGGCGGGGGAGCACCACAACAGGUGGAGCCUGCGGU